CAGUAGCCGCGGUAAAACGUAGGGUGCGAGCGUUAAUCGGAAUUACUGGGCGUAAAGCGGGCGCAGACGGUUACUUAAGCAGGAUGUGAAAUCCCCGUGCUCAACCUGGGAACUGCGUUCUGAACUGGGUAACUAGAGUGUGUCAGAGGGAGGUAGAAUUCCACGUGUAGCAGUGAAAUGCGUAGAGAUGUGGAGGAAUACCGAUGGCGAAGGCAGCCUCCUGGGAUAACACUGACGUUCAUGCCCGAAAGCGUGGGUAGCAAACAGGAUUAGAUACCCGAGUAGUCCCUGUCUCUUAUAC
RNAcentral lists this ribosomal RNA (301 nucleotides) under uncultured bacterium. RNAcentral's name for it is "partial 16S ribosomal RNA". It matches the Rfam family "Bacterial small subunit ribosomal RNA", at positions 509 to 807 of the family's 1533-position model. The record is from RNAcentral.